CUGGUGCCAGCAGCCGCGGUAAUUCCAGCUCCAAUAGCGUAUAUUAAACUUGUUGCAGUUAAAAAGCUCGUAGUUGAAUUUUUGCGUGGUGUUAAUAUUGACUAAUGUCGAGAUUGCACUUCGCUUUUGGGAUUUAUCCCUUUUUACUUUGAGAAAAUUAGAGUGUUUCAAGCAGACUUUUGUCUUGAAUACUUCAGCAUGGAAUAAUAGAGUAGGACUUUGGUUCUAUUUUGUUGGUUUGUGAACCUUAGUAAUGGUUAAUAGGAACGGUUGGGGGCAUUCGUAUUUAACUGUCAGAGGUGAAAUUCUUAGAUUUGUUAAAGACGAACUACUGCGAAAGCAUUUGCCAAGGACGUUUUCAUUAAUCAAGAACGAAAGUUAGGGGAUCGAAGACGAUCAGAUACCGUCGUAGUCCUAACCA
Molecule: ribosomal RNA, 421 nt
Filed under: Babesia divergens
Lineage: Eukaryota; Apicomplexa; Aconoidasida; Piroplasmida; Babesiidae
Description: SSU rRNA
Rfam family: Eukaryotic small subunit ribosomal RNA
Source: RNAcentral